This 517-nucleotide ribosomal RNA is filed under the name uncultured bacterium. RNAcentral describes it as "bacterial SSU rRNA". It matches the Rfam family "Bacterial small subunit ribosomal RNA", at positions 8 to 518 of the family's 1533-position model. The record is from RNAcentral.
AGAGUUUGAUAUGGCUCAGGAUGAACGCUAGCGACAGGCUAACACAUGCAAGCGAGGGGCAGCACGGGAGUAGCAAGUACUUGGUGGCGACCGGCGCACGGGUGAGUAACGCGUAUGCAACCUACCUAUCAGAGGGGAAUAACCCGGCGAAAGUCGGACUAAUACCGCAUAAAACAGGGGCACCGCGUGGUGAUAUUUGUUAAAGAAAUUCGCUGAUAGAUGGGCAUGCGUUCCAUUUAGGUAGUUGGUGAGGUAACGGCUCACCAAGCCGACGAUGGAUAGGGGAACUGAGAGGUUGGUCCCCCACACUGGUACUGAGACACGGACCAGACUCCUACGGGAGGCAGCAGUGAGGAAUAUUGGUCAAUGGGCGGGAGCCUGAACCAGCCAAGUCGCGUGAAAGGAAGAAGGAUCUAUGGUUCGUAAACUUCUUUUGCAGGGGAAUAAAGUGCAGGACGUGUCCUGUUUUGUAUGUACCCUGAGAAUAAGGAUCGGCUAACUCCGUGCCAGCAGCUGC